ACGAACGCUGGCGGCGUGCUUAACACCUGCAAGUCGAACGGAGAGGCCCUGCUUUUGUGGGGUGCUCGAGUGGCGAACGGGUGAGUAACACGUGAGUAACCUGCCCUUGACUUUGGGAUAACUUCAGGAAACUGGGGCUAAUACCGGAUAGGAGCUCCUGCUGCAUGGUGGGGGUUGGAAAGUUUCGGCGGUUGGGGAUGGACUCGCGGCUUAUCAGCUUGUUGGUGGGGUAGUGGCUUACCAAGGCUUUGACGGGUAGCCGGCCUGAGAGGGUGACCGGCCACAUUGGGACUGAGAUACGGCCCAGACUCCUACGGGAGGCAGCAGUGGGGAAUAUUGCACAAUGGGCGGAAGCCUGAUGCAGCAACGCCGCGUGCGGGAUGACGGCCUUCGGGUUGUAAACCGCUUUCGCCUGUGACGAAGCGUGAGUGACGGUAAUGGGUAAAGAAGCACCGGCUAACUACGUG
This 467-nucleotide ribosomal RNA is filed under the name uncultured bacterium. RNAcentral's name for it is "partial 16S ribosomal RNA". It matches the Rfam family "Bacterial small subunit ribosomal RNA", at positions 29 to 507 of the family's 1533-position model. The record is from RNAcentral.